Molecule: ribosomal RNA, 375 nt
Filed under: uncultured organism
Description: partial 16S ribosomal RNA
Rfam family: Bacterial small subunit ribosomal RNA
Source: RNAcentral
GUAGGUGGCAAGCGUUGUCCGGAAUUAUCGGGCGUAAAGCGCGCGCAGGCGGUCCUCUAAGUCUGAUGUGAAAGCCCACGGCUCAACCGUGGAGGGUCAUUGGAAACUGGGGGACUUGAGUACAGAAGAGGAAAGCGGAAUUCCAAGUGUAGCGGUGAAAUGCGUAGAGAUUUGGAGGAACACCAGUGGCGAAGGCGGCUUUUCUGGUCUGUAACUGACGCUGAGGCGCGAAAGCGUGGGGAGCAAACAGGGAUUAGAUACCCUGGUAGUCCACGCCGUAAACGAUGAGUGCUAAGUGUUAGGGGGGUUUCCGCCCCCUUAGUGCUGCAGCUAACGCAUUAAGCACUCCGCCUGGGGAGUACGGCCGCAAGGCUG